UACGUAGGGUGCGAGCGUUGUCCGGAAUUAUUGGGCGUAAAGAGCUCGUAGGCGGUGUGUCGCGUCGGCCGUGAAAACCUGGGGCUCAACUCUGGGCGUGCGGUCGAUACGGGCAUCACUUGAGUUCGGCAGGGGAGACUGGAAUUCCUGGUGUAGCGGUGAAAUGCGCGGAUAUCAGGAGGAACACCGGUGGCGAAGGCGGGUCUCUGGGCAGUAACUGACGCUGAGGAGCGAAAGCGUGGGGAGCGAACAGG
Molecule: ribosomal RNA, 254 nt
Filed under: uncultured bacterium
Lineage: Bacteria
Description: partial 16S ribosomal RNA
Rfam family: Bacterial small subunit ribosomal RNA
Source: RNAcentral